GAAAUAAGAUUUUAAAUGAGUGCUAAGAGAAUGAUUAAACAAUUAAAAGCUUUCUUUAAUUAAAAAGUUAAAUUUAAUUUUUUAGUGCAAAAGCAAAAAUAAAAUUUAGGGACAAGAAGACCCUAUGAAUUUUUAUUGUUAAUAAUUAAAAUUUAAGUUAUUAAUAAUUUAAUUGGGGCGAUAAAAAAAGAAUAAGUAUCUUUUUAGCUAUAAAAUAAGUUCCGUUUUUAGCGAUUAAAUGAAAUAAAUACUCUAGGGAUAACAGCGUAAUAAUUUUGGAUAGUUCAUAUAGAUAAAAUAGUUUGCGACCUCGAUGUUGGAUUAGGAUUCUU
RNAcentral lists this ribosomal RNA (332 nucleotides) under Ixodes scapularis (black-legged tick). RNAcentral describes it as "partial 16S ribosomal RNA". Lineage: Eukaryota; Metazoa; Arthropoda; Arachnida; Ixodida; Ixodidae. The record is from RNAcentral.